UUAAAGGUGUUGAUAAAGAGGAGUACACACCUGCCCUUGACAGAGAAAAUUACCCACUGGCUGGAAGGUGAUUACAAGUAGGAGUUGUGGAAGGUAGCUUUGGAGCCGGAUAUCUGAAUGGGUCCGACAGGACAGUAGGACAUCCCGGAGUGGUUCCCGUUAUAGAACGAAGAGAUAUAUACCUGUCAGGGAGGACGGGUAUAUAAUGAAGGUGGUACCGCGUUUAUACGCCCUUUAC
This 238-nucleotide non-coding RNA is filed under the name Ruminococcus sp. RNAcentral describes it as "T-box sequence". It matches the Rfam family "T-box leader". From Rfam's summary of the family: Uncharged tRNA acts as the effector for transcription antitermination of genes in the T-box leader family. T-boxes are found upstream of many aminoacyl-tRNA synthetase genes and some amino acid biosynthetic genes usually in Gram-positive bacteria. The anticodon of a specific tRNA base pairs to a specifier sequence within the T-box motif, and the NCCA acceptor tail of the tRNA base pairs to a conserved bulge in the T-box antiterminator hairpin. The record is from RNAcentral. Lineage: Bacteria; Bacillati; Bacillota; Clostridia; Eubacteriales; Oscillospiraceae.